AGAGUGAACGCUGGCGGUAGGCCUAACACAUGCAAGUCGAACGGCAGCACAGUAGGAGCUUGCUCUUACGGGUGGCGAGUGGCGGACGGGUGAGGAAUACAUCGGAAUCUACCUUUUGGUGGGGGAUAACGUAGGGAAACUUACGCUAAUACCGCAUACGCCCUUCGGGGGAAAGCCGGGGACCAGCAAUGGCCUGGCGCUGAUAGAUGAGCCGAUGUCGGAUUAGCUAGUUGGUGAGGUAAUGGCUCACCAAGGCGACGAUCCGUAGCUGGUCUGAGAGGAUGAUCAGCCACACUGGAACUGAGACACGGUCCAGACUCCUACGGGAGGCAGCAGUGGGGAAUAUUGGACAAUGGGCGAAAGCCUGAUCCAGCCAUGCCGCGUGUGUGAAGAAGGUCUUCGGAUUGUAAAGCAACUUUAAAGUUGGGAAGGAGGGUUGUAACCUAAGUACGUUGCAACUUUGACGUUACCGACAGAAUAAGCACCGGCUAACUUCGUAG
This 500-nucleotide ribosomal RNA is filed under the name uncultured soil bacterium. Its description in RNAcentral is "bacterial SSU rRNA". It matches the Rfam family "Bacterial small subunit ribosomal RNA", at positions 26 to 508 of the family's 1533-position model. The record is from RNAcentral.